This 520-nucleotide ribosomal RNA is filed under the name uncultured archaeon. RNAcentral's name for it is "bacterial SSU rRNA". It matches the Rfam family "Archaeal small subunit ribosomal RNA", at positions 353 to 879 of the family's 1478-position model. The record is from RNAcentral.
CAAAGGGGCAAAGCGCGUAUGAGGGGAUCCAAGGGCUGGCUCUUAGGAGUAAGCUGUUUCUUUGUUUAAAUGCAGAGAGAGGAGGGGCUGGGUAAGACGGGUGCCAGCCGCCGCGGUAAUACCUGCAGCUCAGUGGUGACCAUUAUUAUUGGGCCUAAACGUUCGUAGCCUGCUAAGUAAAUGCCUGGGUAAAUCGUGCCGCUCAACGGUACGAAUUCCGGGUAGACUGCUUAGCUUGAGACCGGGAGAAGCUAGAGGUACUCCUGGGGUAGGGGUGAAAUCCUGUAAUCCUGGGGGGACCACCAGUGGCGAAGCGUCUAGCUAGAACGGGUCUGACGGUGAGGAACGAAACCCUGGGGCGCAAACCGGAUUAGAUACCCGGGUAGUCCAGGGCGCAAACGCUGCUUGCUUGAUGUUAGCUGGGCUUCGAGCUCAGCUAGUGUCGGAGUGAAAAUGUUAAGCAAGCUGCCUGGGAAGUACGAUCGCAGAUUGAAACUUAAAGGAAUUGGCGGGGGAGCCC